This 468-nucleotide ribosomal RNA is filed under the name uncultured bacterium. Its description in RNAcentral is "partial 16S ribosomal RNA". It matches the Rfam family "Bacterial small subunit ribosomal RNA", at positions 28 to 507 of the family's 1533-position model. The record is from RNAcentral.
AACGAACGCUGGCGGCGGGCUUAACACAUGCAAGUCGAACGGAAAGGCCCUGCUUGUGUGUGGUUCUCGAGUGGCAAACGGGUGAGUAACACGUGAGUAACCUGCCCUUGACUGUGGGAUAACUUCAGGAAACUGGGGCUAAUACCGGAUAGGAGCUGCUGCUGCAUGGUGGGGGUCGGAAAGUUUCGGUGGUUGGGGAUGGACGGCGGGCUUAUCAGCUGGUUGGUGGGGGAGUGGCUUAGGAAGGCAUUGAAGGGUAGCCGGCCUGAGAAGUGGGCCAGCGACCAGGGGCCUACGAGACGGAGCAGACGGCUACGGGAGGCAGCAGUGGGGAAUAUUGCACAAUGGGGGGGAGCCUGAUGAAACGACGCUGCGUGCGGGAAGACGGCCUUGGGGUUGUAAACCGCUUUAGCCUGUGACGUAGCGUGAGUGACGGUAAUAGGAAAAGAAGCACCGGCUAACUACGUG